This 374-nucleotide ribosomal RNA is filed under the name uncultured bacterium. RNAcentral describes it as "bacterial SSU rRNA". It matches the Rfam family "Bacterial small subunit ribosomal RNA", at positions 524 to 898 of the family's 1533-position model. The record is from RNAcentral.
UACGGAGGGAGCGAGCGUUAUUCGGAAUUACUGGGCAUAAAGGGCGCGUAGGUGGUUUUGUAAGUCAGAGGUGAAAUACCACGGCUCAACCGUGGGGGUGCCUUUGAUACUGCAAGACUUGAGUACAGGAUAGGUGAGUGGAAUUCCAGGUGUAGCGGUGAAAUGCGUAGAUAUCUGGAAGAACACCGGUGGCGAAGGCGGCUCACUGGACUGAUACUGACACUGAGGCGCGAAAGCGUGGGGAGCAAACAGGAUUAGAUACCCUGGUAGUCCACGCUGUAAACUAUGGGUACUAGGUGUUGGGAUGGUAGCAUCUCGGUGCCGAAGCUAAUGCAUUAAGUACCCCGCCUGGGGAGUACGACCGCAAGGUUGAA